GCUUGGAUAGCUCUGUUGGUUAGAGUGUGAUGCUGAUGAUGCCAAAGUUGCAGGUUCAAUCCCUGUAUGGGACA
Molecule: transfer RNA, 74 nt
Filed under: Podarcis lilfordi (Lilford's wall lizard)
Lineage: Eukaryota; Metazoa; Chordata; Lepidosauria; Squamata; Lacertidae
Description: tRNA.Ile
Source: RNAcentral